AGCCCGCCCCAGCCGAGGUUCU
RNAcentral lists this microRNA (22 nucleotides) under Homo sapiens (human). Its description in RNAcentral is "hsa-miR-4707-3p". Lineage: Eukaryota; Metazoa; Chordata; Mammalia; Primates; Hominidae. The record is from miRBase by way of RNAcentral.